AUGAGGACCUCGAGCCUUCUGCAGCAGAACCCUGCAGCUCCUUCCCUGUCCCCCCUGCAGCAACGUGGGGCUGGGAUGUAUGGCAGGGCCUGCAGUGCCUCUCCUGCUGCUGCCAGUGUCCGUGGGAUGGCUGUGGCUCCCGCUGAGGGCAGAACUCCGGCUGCAGAUCCCAGCUUGGAGGGCUCCAGACUUGCUGCUCCCCAUGCAGGGCUGGUGGAACACGGAGUGUGGAGCUGUUGGGGGCCAAAGUGGGGCAGAAGGAGCAGCUGCAGCUCUGUCUACACCGAAGAUGUGGCUGCUGGGUGUUGGGAGGGCACAGCGGGGACCUCCGAGGAGGAAGAGGAUGAUGGCAGCAGGCAGGAUGUGUCCCCAGGGUUGAUGAGGAGGGGGAGCCUGGAGUCGCUUGGAGCCAGGAUAUCCAGGCUGAGCCAGAGUGGGGCUGAGACCCCCUGCCCAGCCCCCUCUGAGCACCCAGCACAGGGCAGGGGGGAUGCAUCCCAUUGGGCACCACGCUCCAAGGCAAAGCCCUCAGUCACUGCUUUGCAUGGUGGGGAUGGGGACACUGGACAUCUCUGGACACCCUCAGGCAGCUCAGUCAGCAGGAGCAGGACCAGGGCCAUAGGACAUAGUGGAUGGCAGGAGCCACCAGCACAACGGGGGUGGCAUGGAGGGGAUGUCACCCUCACUGCGGAGAAGGAAGGAGAUGGCAACGAGCGGAGGAGGGCUCUUUGCACCAAAGCAGCAGCAGUGGGACCUGCUGGGAAAUGCAGCCCCCAGGCAGAGGGGCAGCACAGUGUGUCCUGCCCAGGGCAUGUGGCUGAGCCCCAGUGGCAGCGCUGGAAGCAGAAGGCCAUCCUGUCCCACAGGCUGGCAGCACUGAGCCGAGCCCUGCAGAGCAGCCAGGAGGGGAUGUGGGAGCCAAGAGCUGGAGCUCAGGGCAUGCAGAGCAAUGGGGAUGGGGCCAGGGCGUGUGCAUGGGAUUGCGUGGAGAAGGUGGGGUGGAAGGGCUGCGCUGAAUGCUGUGAGAAGAUGAGGAGGAAAACGCUGGAUCUCAGGGAAGAGAAGCAGGAGCUGAAGGAGGUGAAUGGAUGUCAGGAGAACUGUCACCUGAAGGAGCUGGCAGCCCCAGCAGCCCUGAAGGAGCCACUGACCACAGUGAGAGCCCUGCGGGUGGCAGGAGGUCCUGCCCCACAUCCAACACUGCCUGCAGGAGCUGCAAGUAGAGGACCUUGGUGUGCUGGGAGCAGAGCUGGGCACCACAGCAAGUAUAGAGGGGUUCCUGAUGCCACCUCUUGA
This 1296-nucleotide long non-coding RNA is filed under the name Coturnix japonica (Japanese quail). RNAcentral's name for it is "lncRNA (ENSCJPG00005014833.1)". The record is from RNAcentral. Lineage: Eukaryota; Metazoa; Chordata; Aves; Galliformes; Phasianidae.